UGGAGCCAUCUGUCAGCUUCAGGUUCCUGAGCACCGCCCAUCCCGCCUGAGCUCAGACGGUCGGCAUGCCGGGCAUGCAGCCUCGCUAUUCUCUCCGGCUGAAUCAUGCUGAGUGAGCUGGCCCGGCCAGAGUUUAUCAAAUCGGAACAGAAUUUUGGCAAAACAGAUGACUUGCCAGCUUAAGUUACGUGCCUGCUCUCAGACUGUUGACUGUGACGUUCCCAGUGUGGAUCCACUGAAGCCUGGCUUCCUGAACCAGUCAUGAUGGGAUCACAUUAUACCAUGCUAUUAUUUGGCUUCCACGGAGAGAUCUGGCCAGGAGGUGGUAGAGCCAGAACCAGUGCCAGAGCCUCUAGCCCCAAAGCCUGUGCUCUCUCCAGCACCACAGCUGAGGCAUCAAACUGACCCUCACCUCUCUCCCCGAUGGCACUAACACAUAAGAAGGUGUUGUUCAGCUUCCUUGUGACUCAGAGCAGCUGCAUUCCCCUCUGAGGUGGGGGUGACCCCAGGUAGGUUCUGCCCACCCAGUAGUCUGUGGCUUCCUGCCUUCUUCAGUUCAAGGGUUUCUCAGACAAGGAGGCGUCUUCAAAAAUGCUCUUAUUUCCCAGAAGACAUCACUCAACCUGACAAGCAGCUGACCAAGGACAGGGGUUGUGGGCUCGUGGUAAAGUGCAGUGACAGUCAGAGUCCAGGGCCAAAAGCCACCUCCUGCAGCUCAACAUCAAUGCCCCCAGGGCCUCCGGGUUUACAACGACUAAGCUUCUGUCCCCAGAGUAGGUUCCCUUCUCUAGUCCUGAGCACCACCCAGAAGUGAGCUUUAGAAAGCCAGAUGGUCUCAGCUCUCACAGGCUUCCAGGAAACCUUUUCGGUUCUAAGAAACCCCCGUUUCCUGCUUCACACCCAGAGCCCGAGUUCUUGGUGGGGAAAGGCAGGGAGGCCUCACCCCUUGCUCCCCCACCUCCAGUCUUCACCCUGGGGAAGCCUCCAACUGCAUGGCUACUACCCACAGAUGCAACAGGAGCAGCAGAAAAGGAGUGGGGUGGCUUCGGCUUCUUCCUCCUUCUGGGUUCUCCAACCUCUCUGGGGCACCCUCCACACCCAUUUCUAAGUCAGCAUCUUUCUGAGCCAAAGUAACUGAUAAACCAAAAGGCAUUCAUUGUGGUUGUGAAAUUUAAUAAAUCAGUGUUUCCCAGUGUGGGAAUCAUUUAGCAUUGGUGGGACACAAAAUGAUUUAAGGUUUCCAUGCAAGCACUAACCUUAAAUUAUAGUUAGUUACUCCCUUUUCUAUCUCCUUCCAAUAUUUAUUUUUAAAGACGUAUUAAUUUUAUUCAUGAUAGAAAGUACACAUGAACAUGAGGUGGGGGCUCCCUCAACAGAGCUUCAACACAUGGCACUGGU
Molecule: long non-coding RNA, 1398 nt
Organism: Tupaia belangeri chinensis (Chinese tree shrew)
Lineage: Eukaryota; Metazoa; Chordata; Mammalia; Scandentia; Tupaiidae
Exons: 3
Source: RefSeq, a predicted model, not a curated record